UCCUCGUUGCUCGACACGACCGACUUUUCAUCACCGUCUUCAUCAUGAAGCUGCCCUUCGACUCCAAAGGCACCGAGUCCUACAUAGCCUCCCUCGAGGCCUCUCCCGUGUCGCCACGUGUCAACUUCAUCACCCUCCCAAAAGUUCCUGCCAUAGACAACCACAUCAGCCCCAACUCCUUCCGCAACCAGUUCAUCGAAAGUCACAAACCCCACGUCAAAAACGCGGUCGCCAAACUCACCGAGUCUGAGUCCGAUUCAAGGCCUCGGCUCGCUGGGUUCGUCAUCGACAUGUUUUGUACAACAAUGAUCGACGUGGCGGAUGAAUUUGGGGUUCCUACUUACAUGUUCUUCACUUCACCAGCUGGGUUUCUGGGGUUGUUGUUUAAC
RNAcentral lists this long non-coding RNA (389 nucleotides) under Prunus persica (peach). RNAcentral describes it as "long non-coding RNA (PPER_LNC003779)". The record is from RNAcentral. Lineage: Eukaryota; Viridiplantae; Streptophyta; Magnoliopsida; Rosales; Rosaceae.